Molecule: transfer-messenger RNA, 372 nt
Filed under: Chitinophaga agrisoli
Lineage: Bacteria; Pseudomonadati; Bacteroidota; Chitinophagia; Chitinophagales; Chitinophagaceae
Description: Standard tmRNA
Rfam family: transfer-messenger RNA
About the family: Bacterial tmRNA, also known as 10Sa RNA or SsrA, is named for its dual tRNA and mRNA-like properties. Its role is to liberate the mRNA from a stalled ribosome.
Source: RNAcentral
GGGGCUGCCUGGUUUUGACAGCAUAGGUCUUUGAAAGUGUAAGCAUGCCGUGCGUUGUAUAAUUAGCACGUAAAUCUGAAUAUACAAACUUUAAUUGGCGAAUCUAACUACGCCAUGGCUGCCUAAUUAAAUUAGGUACCCAUUAUAGCCGCCGCAAGUCUGCGCCUGCUAAGACUGCCGCCGCCGAAUCAACAAACUAGGAGGAUAGGUACUCAUGGUUUCUGUGAGUGAGUGCCGAAACAACAACGGAUAAGGACAAGGUUGGUUAGUUACGUCCCUGCCAAGUUCCGACACAUCAAUGCGUAAAUAAGCAUGUAGAAAGCUUUUGGAGGAUAUGUUUGGACGCGGGUUCGAUUCCCGCCAGCUCCACUG